RNAcentral lists this long non-coding RNA (1018 nucleotides) under Junco hyemalis (dark-eyed junco). RNAcentral's name for it is "lncRNA (ENSJHYG00000010323.1)". Lineage: Eukaryota; Metazoa; Chordata; Aves; Passeriformes; Passerellidae. The record is from RNAcentral.
CUGUCAUGGCAUGCUAGGAAUCUGAGAAAGUGAUGACCCCAGCUCUCCACAUAACUCUGGAACUGAGAGCUAGGAUGUGCCAGUCCCUCUGGUCAACAGGACUGCCUGCCUGCUCAGUUUUACUGUGUGCCUCUGAAACUGGUAGGAAUGUCUAAACCACAAUCCUAGUCUUGUGUGAAUUUACUGAAAAGCAGAACACUGAGGUUUUGGCUCCAUUUCCUGCUGAGAAAAAACUGUUGAAGCAAAGCAUUCUGUCUAGGAAGCAGCUGUUUAUAGCUGUUGUGGACGUGCACCACUCCCAAGUUCUGCAUGACAGAUAGCAUAUGCCCUGAGUUUUCAAAGCUUUCCAAUGUUUUUCUUUGAUUUUGAAUCCAGCAGACUAAAGAAAUCUUGUAUCUUACAGGAAGAAAAUUUGUGGUUAUAGGAACUUGGUGUUAUGGAAAUAGUACCGGGACAGGAGAGUGCCACCAUGCCCUGGGAGGGUCUCUUCAAGCGGGCAUCCAUCCUGCCAGGAGCCAGAUACACCUCUUCAGGAGAAGCGAUCGGGAUGAUGGUGCUUCACACCCCAGAGGGAGUUUCGCUUCACAGAUAAGCGCCCUGAGUCAUGAGCUGAAUACGUGCCAGAAGGUUUCAAUGGCAGAAGUAAAUCCUAUCAAAGUUUGCUGUUGUGGUUGGACUGCUGACUCAAAGCGCUCGCUACGUGAGCUACCAGGGAGAGAUGGGGCUGGCAGUAAGUCACGCAGUGGCUCAUGUGGAAAUUGGGAGGCAGAAAUUGUUCUGCACAUGAACAAGAAACAAUCUGGGUAUGUGAAAAUGUAAGCUGUUUGUUUCAAUCAAGAGGUUGGGUUUGGCUUUACUCCAUGUAGUUAUUUGAAGGCUAUUGAGAAAUGCAAAUCAUGAUUUAUUUUUACUGUGCUAUGUGAUGAGACUCAUACUUCAGAGGCAGAGAGACAAGUUUCUGGAAUCUGUCCAGAAAUUAGCCAAAACGAUAAAAUAAAAAAAUCACACAACUUAUUCA